Molecule: ribosomal RNA, 446 nt
Filed under: uncultured bacterium
Lineage: Bacteria
Description: partial 16S ribosomal RNA
Rfam family: Bacterial small subunit ribosomal RNA
Source: RNAcentral
CCUACGGGCGGCAGCAGUCGAGAAUCAUUCACAAUGGCGGAAACGCUGAUGGUGCGAAGCCGCGUGGGGGAAUGAAGGUCUUCGGAUUGUAAACCUCUGUCAUGUGGGAGCAAAUUAAAAAGAUAGUACAACAAGAGGAAGAGACGGUUAACUCUGUGCUAGCAGCCGCGGUAAAACAGAGGUCUCAAGCGUUGGUCGGAAUCACUGGGCGUAAAGCGUGCGUAGGCUGUUUCGUAAGUCGUGUGUGAAAGGCGCGGGCUCAACCAGCAGACGGCACAUGAUACUGCGAGACUAGAGUGUGUUUGGGGUAACCGGAAUGCUCGGUGUAGCAGUGAAAUGCAUAGAUAUCGAGCGGAACUCUGAUGGCGAAGGCAGGUUCCUAGGCAUUAACUGACGCUGAAGCACGAAGGCCAGGGGAGCGAAAGGGAUUAGAUACCCUGGUAGUC